UUUUGUAGAGCUUGUUAAAGUUUUUUAUUUACAUUAAAAUUAACUAUAUUAUUAUAGUGCAGAAA
This 65-nucleotide transfer RNA is filed under the name Tetrodontophora bielanensis (giant springtail). RNAcentral's name for it is "tRNA-Val". The record is from RNAcentral. Lineage: Eukaryota; Metazoa; Arthropoda; Collembola; Poduromorpha; Onychiuridae.